UGGUAGGACCAGGCUAGAUCCUUGCAGCACUAUUCUGAACAUAGUGCAGUCUCUGCAGGCUUUUGUUAGGGAUCCCGAUGAGAAGUGCGUUACAGUAAUCCAGUCUGGAGGAGACAAAGGCAUGGACCAGUUUUUCAGCAUCUGCUAAGGUGAGUGCCCUCCAGGAGGCGCUACAGGAGCCUCUGUUCCAGCCCACCUGCUGCUGCUGAAUGUUCCUUUUUUUGGUUCAUGCUUCAUGAUGAUGAUGAUAACAGGUAAACAGCCUAACCCAUUUCAUUGUUUCAUUGCAUUGAUUCAGAUGUAGAUUGUAUCUUUUGUUUAGAAGUUGUUUUUUAUACUUAUCUUUUAAGUUAAAGGCAUACUAUGUAACUUUUCCCUCUUCGGUCCUCCUACAGGUUGUCUCAUUAGAACUACAGCUCACUCGGCUGUAGUUCUAAUGAGACAACCUGUAGGAGGACCGAAGAGGGAAAAGUUACAUAGUAUGCCUUUAAAGUAGCAAUACCACAGUGUAAAAAUACUCCAUUAAAAGUAAAAGUACUCAUAAAAAGUUGACAAUAUAUGAUACAUUAUGAAAGUGAAUUAUUAUUGCAGAUGGUGAGUAAGCAGCAUUGUAUUGUUGUAGCUAGUCGAGAGGCAGCUCAUGUCACGCCCCCGCCUGCCGUGACUUCUGCACGGUGACAGUCUAGUGUGUGUGUGAGUGUGUGAAUGUGUUUUGGUUUAUUUCUUCAUUUUGUUAUGCCUGCCGUGUGUUUGGUGUGUUUGGUGUGUGUGUGUGUGUUUUUUUGUCUGUGUUUCUGUUCCCGCCUACAUUUUCCACAGAGUGAGGACACGCCCCCCCUGUUGAUUCUCCCCACACCUGGUACCAACUCCAAUCAGCGCACCUGCUACUCAUCCUGCUCCAUCAUCUGCCUUCAAAUGCCAGUCGGACUUUCCUCUCCCUGCCGGAUUGUUGCUUACCACUGAAAAUAACCCACCUUUGGAAUCCUCUGCUGCCAAUAGCGCACUGGAACAUCAAGGAACACAGCCCAGCACCCUCUCUGCCAGUCCAGCCAUCUUCAGACCCAGCACCCCCACUGCCAGUCCAGCCAUCUUCGGACCCAGCACCCUCUCUGCCAGUCCGGCCAACUUCGGACCCAGCACCCC
This is a long non-coding RNA of Sander lucioperca (pikeperch), 1143 nucleotides long. RefSeq lists it as uncharacterized. The record is from RefSeq and is a predicted model, not a curated record. The transcript has 2 exons. NCBI's taxonomy places the organism in Eukaryota, Metazoa, Chordata, Actinopteri, Perciformes, Percidae.